RNAcentral lists this microRNA precursor (208 nucleotides) under Oryza sativa Japonica Group (Japanese rice). RNAcentral's name for it is "MIR812 microRNA precursor family". It matches the Rfam family "MIR812 microRNA precursor family". Lineage: Eukaryota; Viridiplantae; Streptophyta; Magnoliopsida; Poales; Poaceae. The record is from Rfam by way of RNAcentral.
AAUAAGUGUAGUUUUACACUAUUUAUGUUUAACGUUUGACCGUUCGUCUUAUUUGAAAUUUUUUUACGAUUAAUAUUUUUAUUGUUACUAGAUGAUAAAAUAUGAAUAGUACUUUAUGUGUGACUAACUUUUUUUAAUUUUCUCAUAAAUUUUUCAAAUAAGACGGACGGUCAAACUUUGGACACAGAUUCCCACGACUGCACUUAUU